UACGAAGGGGGCGAGCGUUGUUCGGAUUUACUGGGCGUAAAGGGCGCGCAGGCGGCGGACCAAGUCAGGCGUGAAAGCCCCGGGCUUAACCUGGGAGGUGCGUCUGGGACUGGUUUGCUAGAGAUCGGGAGAGGAGAGUGGAAUUCCCAGUGUAGAGGUGAAAUUCGUAGAUAUUGGGAAGAACACCGGUGGCGAAGGCGGCAUCCUGGACCGACACUGACACUGAGGAGCGAAAGCCAGGGGAGCAAACGGG
This 253-nucleotide ribosomal RNA is filed under the name uncultured bacterium. RNAcentral describes it as "partial 16S ribosomal RNA". It matches the Rfam family "Bacterial small subunit ribosomal RNA", at positions 524 to 776 of the family's 1533-position model. The record is from RNAcentral.